Molecule: small nucleolar RNA, 135 nt
Organism: Juglans regia (Persian walnut)
Lineage: Eukaryota; Viridiplantae; Streptophyta; Magnoliopsida; Fagales; Juglandaceae
Product: small nucleolar RNA Z247
Exons: 1
Source: RefSeq, a predicted model, not a curated record
ACACUCGAAGAGAGUUCAUUUCCUAUAUCCUUGACGAUCUUGACUUCACUUAUGAUGCAAUUGUGACUUCCAUAUCUACUCGCAUCGAUCAAAUGUCUAUUGAAGAGAUGUUUAGUUACGUUCUCAAUUUUGAGU